Molecule: ribosomal RNA, 253 nt
Filed under: uncultured bacterium
Lineage: Bacteria
Description: partial 16S ribosomal RNA
Rfam family: Bacterial small subunit ribosomal RNA
Source: RNAcentral
UACGUAGGGCGCAAGCGUUAUCCGGAAUUACUGGGCGUAAAGGGCUCGUAGGCGGCCAACUAAGUCGGAUGUGAAAUCCCCAGGCUCAACUUGGGAACUGCAUCCGAUACUGGAUGGCUUGAAUUCGGGAGAGGGAUGCAGAAUUCCAGGUGUAGCGGUGAAAUGCGUAGAUAUCUGGAGGAAUACCGGUGGCGAAGGCGGCAUCCUGGACCAAUACUGACGCUGAGGAGCGAAAGCGAGGGGAGCAAACGGG